Long non-coding RNA from Zingiber officinale, 2419 nucleotides. RefSeq lists it as uncharacterized. The transcript has 2 exons. Lineage: Eukaryota; Viridiplantae; Streptophyta; Magnoliopsida; Zingiberales; Zingiberaceae. The record is from RefSeq and is a predicted model, not a curated record.
AUAUAUUAUAUAAAUUAAUAGAUAAUUAAUUAAAUUGAUAAUUAAUAAUAUAAUUAUCAUCUUUAUUAAUUAAAAUUUUAUAACGUAUAGGUAAUGACACCAAAACAACAAUCAUAUGAUCCAACUUGGAGGCAUGCACUUCGAUUAGAAAAUCGAUUUCAUUGCGAUAUGAUUGGACGUGGCGAUGGGAUCACACACCUAAAACAUCUUGCUGGUGGAUAUCCAGAUGUCUCUAAAUACUCAAAACUUUCUCAAGAAAUUCGUCAUGCAAUGAAAGAUGAACUUGAUGGUAAAAAAGAAUUAAAGUAUAAACAACAACAACGUGAAAUGUUUGAUAGGUGAAGCUCUAAAGAACCAGUCUUUGAUGAAUUUGAAGGGCGUGGUGAAGAUCCAAAUGAUGAAGAAUUUUUAGCAGCUCUUAGUGCCUCUUGAACUCAAUAUGAAUAUGAGUGGCAUAUGCAACAUAGUGGUGCUAUCAUUGGUGCUAGCGGAAGUAGCUCAGGUGCUAGUGGAAGUGGCUCAACUACUACAGCAACAUUGGGGAGGAGUGCAAGUGUUCGUGCUACUUCAACACAAGGUGGUAUUUGUCGUUUCUUUCCUUCUAUGGGACGAAGGCAUACAGUUGAUAUUGUUGAUAUUGAUCUACUAGUAUUCCCAAACCAAGCUAGCAAAUAGACUAGGAUUGAUGAUGCUUAUAUAAAGGAGAAGAAGAAAUCAAUAUGUCAAAGUAUUGCUAAAUUUUUUCAUUUCAAUCGAAUUCCUCCCAAUGCAGCAAAUAACACAUACUACCGUAGCAUGGUUUACAACAUUCAAAAAUCUGGAUCUGGUAUUCAACCUCCGACUGCAUAUGAAAUUACUAGUCCGUAUUUAGAUGAACAAGGAUAGGAAAUCAAAACUUGGAUUUUAUCAUGCAAGAAACAAUGGGGCUUAUAUGGGGUUACAUUAAUGUGUGAUGGUUGGACAGGGCCUACACGGAUGAACAUUAUUAAUUUUCGGCUAUACUGCAAUAGAAAGGUGAUUUUUCAUAAAUCUGUUGACGCAACUGCAGAUUAUCAUGAUGCAUCUUAUAUAUAUCAUUUGAUGGAUAAUGUAGUUCAAGAAAUAGGUGCAGACCAUAUAGUGCAGGUAAUUACAAACAAUGGUGCCAACUUCAAAAGGGUGGGAGAGUUUUUGGAGCAAAAAUAUCAAACAUUAUUUUGGACACCAUGCGCAGUACACUGUAUUGAUUUGAUGAUGGCAGAUAUCGGUAAACUCGAUAUAGGAAAGAAGGUAGUGAAAAAAGAUCAAUCAUUAACAAAAUUCCUUUAUAAUCAUCAUUGGGUUCAUGGAUUAAUGAGGAAAUUUAUUAAUAGGGAGAUUCUACGAUCAGGAGCAACUAGGUUUGCAACUCACUUUCUCCUAUUAAAAUCAUUGUUUCAGAAAAAAGUCAGAUUGAAGGUCAUGUUCACUUUUGAAGAUUGGGAAACCUCUCGAUACUCUAGUUCUACUAAAGGAAGGGAGGUCGUUUUACGUGAAGUCGAUAUGAACAAGAAGCCACAAAUGGGCAACAUCUACCAUCUAAUUCAUGAAGCAAAAGAAGAAAUUAAGAGACAUCUACAAUCACCAACCAAGUAUUAAUAUUAUAUUGAUAUAAUCACUACAAGAUGGGACAACCAAAUGGUAAAAUAUAUUCAUUUGGCAGGUGCAUAUUUUUUAUGAUACAGAAUUUUUAAUAUUGCUAUUAAUAAUUAUAUAUGCUUAAUUAUUUUAGUUUAUUUUCUCAAUCCAGCAUAUCAAUACCGUUAUAAUCUUGCCACAAAUGAAAAUCUAUUAGUAGUUCUCAAAAAAUGUAAUAUCAAGACUCCAAAAAAAUAGAGAAUUAGCUGCUGAGGCUAUUAAUGAAAGUCGAUUAUUUUGAGAGGCAUAUGAUUCUUUUAGCGAUUUUUUUGCAGUGUCAUGCAAAUAUAAAAUGGAUGCAGGUAAAUAUAAAAAAAUUAUUACUAAUUAUUGUCAACAAAUAUAAAUAUUAUUUUAAUUUUAUUUUUAUUUAUCUUAUAGCUGAGUGGUGGUUACAAUAUGGAGGAUCAGUCCCAAAUUUUAAAAAAUUGCGGUACAAAUUCUCUCACAGACGUCUUUAAAUGGUUGCGAAAGAAAUUGGUCAACUUUCUCCCUUAUUCAUACAAAAGUACGCAAUCGUCUUUCUUAUCGUCGCUUGGAGAAGAUGGUCUACGUUCAUUAUAAUAUGCGUCUUCAACUAAGAGCGAUAACAGAAGAACAAGAAUAGGAAAAACAAGAAUCUAGUUAUGUAGAUCUAUUUGAUAUUGGAUUUGUCCAAACUGAGGAUGAUCCAAUGAUGGAUUGGUAGAGCGUCGUUGAGGCUGAGGGCCUUGAUGAAAUCGGAGAUCCACCAAAACCAUCUCAAUUUCUUACUCAAGAGAUU